Molecule: long non-coding RNA, 285 nt
Filed under: Bos grunniens (domestic yak)
Lineage: Eukaryota; Metazoa; Chordata; Mammalia; Artiodactyla; Bovidae
Description: lncRNA (ENSBGRG00000016388.1)
Source: RNAcentral
UUCCCGAACCUCCCUGUCUCAGCGUCCUCACCCAUUAAAAUAUCAGUAGGACAAGUACCAAAGUACCGCUUUGUUCCAGGAAUUCACUGGUUAACUUGCGUAACAUAUUUUAAACAGAGCCUGACAUGUGUAAUAUGUGUGUGCAAGUAUGACCAGAGCGGCAGCAGAAUGAAGAGAAACUCGAACACUGAUGACUCAGGGAGGUUGUAGAGGCUGUCUUCAGAAGUUUGUCACAGAAAGACUGGUUGCCAUUUCCUCCGUGUGUCUUGUUUAUCAGUGUGUUGA